Hyaena hyaena (striped hyena) is the source of this 573-nucleotide long non-coding RNA. RefSeq lists it as uncharacterized. The transcript is spliced from 3 exons. The record is from RefSeq and is a predicted model, not a curated record. NCBI's taxonomy places the organism in Eukaryota, Metazoa, Chordata, Mammalia, Carnivora, Hyaenidae.
AGGUCUGGAGAACGGAUUCUCCCCGCUCCCAAACUACAUGAAGCCCCUUCCCGCUGGGGAAGGAGAGAGGAGACACGGAGGGGCAGCAAGGGGGCUGGGGGGCCCGGGGCUCCGGGGAAGGCCCCGCAGCUGCCCCUCAGGCAGGAGAGUGUGGACUCCUGUGGACAGAGAGAACCCGGAAACUUGGAAGAGGACCUUUCCCUGCUGCCCCAGAACUGUGGUCCGAGGCUCCAAGCUAGAAGCGGAGGGAUAGCCGCUGCCCCCAGCCUGCAUCAAAAGGGGCCAGAGCGACCAUAAACAGCUACGUGUCUCCCCAGGGCCUGGAGGGCCCAACCCAGCGCCGCCAGGGGAUGCCGUAUUCUCUCCACCUGGGGGUUCCUGCUCCAGAAGUGCUCCCUGUGAGGAAUUUAGCCCUGGAUGCCCCCCACUCCUGCGCUCCCAUCCCUACUCCCCCAACCCCUGUGCCCGUGCGGUCGGCAGAUCUUGAAAUCCCCAACACUCUUGAACAAGGGACCCCUCAUUUUCAUUUUGUCCUGGGCCCUGCAAAUUACAUAGUCCAUCUCAAGACAGCUC